UGCAAGUCGAUCGGUAACAGGUGUAGCAAUACAUGCUGACGAGAGGCGGACGGGUGAGGAAUAUUUGGGAAUCUGCCCAUCAGCGGGGGACAACCCGGGGAAACCCGGGCUAAUACCGCAUACGCUCUACGGAGGAAAGCCGGGGACCGCAAGGCCUGGCACUGAUGGAUGAGCCCAAAUCGGGUUAGCUAGUUGGCGGGGUAACGGCCCACCAAGGCGACGAUCCGUAGCUGGUCUGAGAGGACGAUCAGCCACACCGGAACUGAGACACGGUCCGGACUCCUACGGGAGGCAGCAGUGGGGAAUAUUGGACAAUGGGGGAAACCCUGAUCCAGCGACGCCGCGUGGGUGAAGAAGGCCUGCGGGUUGUAAAGCCCUUUCGGUAGGGACGAAAGCUCUUGCUCUAACAAAGCAGGAGGUUGACUUAACCUACAUAAGAAGCACCGGCUAACUCUGUGCCAGCAGCCGCGGUAAUACAGAGGGUGCGAGCGUUAAUCGGAAUUACUGGGCGUAAAGCGCACGUAGUCGGCUUGUCAAGUCGGGUGUGAAAUCCCCGGGCUCAACCUGGGAACUGCAUCCGAAACUGACUUGCUAGAGUAUGGGAGAGGGAGGCGGAAUUUCUGGUGUAGCAGUGAAAUGCGUAGAUAUCAGAAGGAACAUCAGUGGCGAAGGCGGCCUCCUGGACCAAUACUGACGAUCA
RNAcentral lists this ribosomal RNA (700 nucleotides) under uncultured bacterium. RNAcentral describes it as "bacterial SSU rRNA". It matches the Rfam family "Bacterial small subunit ribosomal RNA", at positions 56 to 749 of the family's 1533-position model. The record is from RNAcentral.